GACGAACGCUGGCGGCGUGCUUAACACAUGCAAGUCGAGCGGUAAGGCCUUUCGGGGUACACGAGCGGCGAACGGGUGAGUAACACGUGGGUGAUCUGCCCCGGACUCUGGGAUAAGCGUUGGAAACGACGUCUAAUACCGGAUAUGAAGCGUGGAGGCAUCUUCUGCGUUUGGAAAGAUUUUUUGGUUUGGGAUGAGCUCGCGGCCUAUCAGCUUGUUGGUGAGGUAAUGGCUUACCAAGGCGACGACGGGUAGCCGGCCUGAGAGGGUGACCGGCCACACUGGGACUGAGACACGGCCCAGACUCCUACGGGAGGCAGCAGUGGGGAAUAUUGCACAAUGGGCGCAAGCCUGAUGCAGCAACGCCGCGUGAGGGAUGACGGCCUUCGGGUUGUAAACCUCUUUUAGUAGGGAAGAAGCGUAAGUGACGGUACCUGCAGAAAAAGCACCGGCUAACUACGUGCCAGCCGCCGCAGUAAAAC
This 482-nucleotide ribosomal RNA is filed under the name uncultured bacterium. Its description in RNAcentral is "bacterial SSU rRNA". It matches the Rfam family "Bacterial small subunit ribosomal RNA", at positions 28 to 526 of the family's 1533-position model. The record is from RNAcentral.